GAUGAACGCUGGCGGCGUGCCUAAUACAUGCAAGUCGAGCGAACAGACGAGGAGCUUGCUCCUCUGACGUUAGCGGCGGACGGGUGAGUAACACGUGGAUAACCUACCUAUAAGACUGGGAUAACUUCGGGAAAUCGGAGCUAAUACCGGAUAAUAUAUUGAACCGCAUGGUUCAAUAGUGAAAGACGGUUUUGCUGUCACUUAUAGAUGGAUCCGCGCCGCAUUAGCUAGUUGGUAAGGUAACGGCUUACCAAGGCAACGAUGCGUAGCCGACCUGAGAGGGUGAUCGGCCACACUGGAACUGAGACACGGUCCAGACUCCUACGGGAGGCAGCAGUAGGGAAUCUUCCGCAAUGGGCGAAAGCCUGACGGAGCAACGCCGCGUGAGUGAUGAAGGUCUUCGGAUCGUAAAACUCUGUUAUUAGGGAAGAACAAAUGUGUAAGUAACUAUGCACGUCUUGACGGUACCUAACCAGAAAGCCACGGCUAACUACGUG
RNAcentral lists this ribosomal RNA (497 nucleotides) under uncultured bacterium. RNAcentral describes it as "partial 16S ribosomal RNA". It matches the Rfam family "Bacterial small subunit ribosomal RNA", at positions 28 to 507 of the family's 1533-position model. The record is from RNAcentral.